AUAAACACCCACUAACAAAUCUUACUAAUAUUGACUAAUAAAUAAAUAAACAUAGACCAAAAAAUAACUCACAAAAAUAUAUGCUUCGGAGGAGCUAACCAAAUGCUAACACAGGCUAACUUGUCAAACAUUCUCCAACAUUAUCACAGAAUGAUACAAACAAAACUAAUAAAUGAAUACAUAACAUCUGACAAAAUUACCCUAAUAUCACAUUUUUAUCAUUAGAUGCCUUUAUCAUUGCGGAUACCAUCAAGCUACGAUGAAAGGUCGCGAACGUUUCUCCAACAUGUCCGUCUCAGUCCUUGUGUGUGGACUCAGUCCUUGUGUGUGGACUCAGUCCUUGUGUGUGGACUGAGACGGACUCCGGCAGAGAACGUUGGGCUAGCCAUCAAACGCUGAAGGUCAGCUCGGUCGUUCCGGAUAUGCGCAGGCUUUUCUGUUAGGAGGAUCGAAGGCAGAGCAGCGUCUAACAAAUGUCUUGUAGGCUUGCUAAACCUGGCGAGACCGAAAUUUGUACCCCGCCCAGUAGCUUCAUUACAAUAUUGAUAUGGACUGCAUGUUUUUCUUUGGGCUGCGCCGGAUGGCUCUUGUGUAGUCCCAUCCUGUGUCCGCAGACCGCACAAUCGAUAUCAACAAUGCUAUAACUUCUGUACCAAAACAGACCUACACAACACUAAGCAAAACGUACCACAAAAUCGAUAACUUCAGACAGCCGGAACUACUUACGAAUGAACAACACUAACAGAUGUGACAACAAGAAAAUGUAAAGAACAAAGAGUGCAUUUUAUUUUAACAUCAUCAAACGCAACAGACGACGAAAAUAUGGCCAGAGGUUAUUGCCAGUCGCCGCAAAAAAAGAGGAAAGGAUGCAAUAAUGAGGCAAUCGUUGUACGGAAUUAGAAACACAAAUAUCUUUAAACGGGUAUGCCGCGAUAAGGUUUUCUCAAGUUAAACUAUAUAUAUAUAGUUUAUAAUGUUAUGCGUUUGACUCUGCCACUAUUUGGGGCAGGAAUGGAUGGAACAGAUUCAUUCAGAUGAUGGCCGUUUCUUCUUGAUGAGUGCGCCGAGGCCUGGCCGCACUUAUGAUCUCCGGCGUGGACCUCAGUAGCUGUGCGUUCCCCAAUUUGCCAAUUUGACUUUAAUAGAGUGAAUAUUAGAGUGAAUAUUGCACGGUAUUAUGCUUUAUCAUAACCGUGUGUGUGAUUGUAUGCUAUAAUUUUUUGUAUGUUUGCACUUAAUAAAUUUGGCUUCGAAAUUUA
Drosophila virilis is the source of this 1259-nucleotide non-coding RNA. The record is from RefSeq and is a predicted model, not a curated record. Lineage: Eukaryota; Metazoa; Arthropoda; Insecta; Diptera; Drosophilidae.